AGUGAACGCUGGCGGUAGGCCUAACACAUGCGAGUCGAACGGCAGCACAGUAAGAGCUUGCUCUUACGGGUGGCGAGUGGCGGACGGGUGAGGAAUACAUCGGAAUCUACUUUUUCGUGGGGGAUAACGUAGGGAAACUUACGCUAAUACCGCAUACGACCUACGGGUGAAAGCAGGGGAUCUUCGGACCUUGCGCGAUUGAAUGAGCCGACGUCGGAUUAGCUAGUUGGCGGGGUAAAGGCCCACCAAGGCGACGAUCCGUAGCUGGUCUGAGAGGAUGAUCAGCCACACUGGAACUGAGACACGGUCCAGACUCCUACGGGAGGCAGCAGUGGGGAAUAUUGGACAAUGGGCGCAAGCCUGAUCCAGCCAUACCGCGUGGGUGAAGAAGGCCUUCGGGUUGUAAAGCCCUUUUGUUGGGAAAGAAAAGCAGCAGGUUAAUACCCCGCUGUUCUGACGGUACCCAAAGAAUAAGCACCGGCUAACUUCGUG
RNAcentral lists this ribosomal RNA (492 nucleotides) under uncultured bacterium. RNAcentral's name for it is "partial 16S ribosomal RNA". It matches the Rfam family "Bacterial small subunit ribosomal RNA", at positions 29 to 507 of the family's 1533-position model. The record is from RNAcentral.